AACGAACGCUGGCGGCAGGCCUAACACAUGCAAGUCGAGCGCACCUUCGGGUGAGCGGCGGACGGGUUAGUAACGCGUGGGAACGUGCCCUUCUCUACGGAAUAGCCAUUGGAAACGAUGAGUAAUACCGUAUACGCCUUCGGGGAAAGAUUUAUCGGAGAAGGAUCGGCCCGCGUUAGAUUAGAUAGUUGGUGGGUAACGGCCUACCAAGUCUACGAUCUAUAGCUGGUUUUAGAGGAUGAUCAGCAACACUGGGACUGAGACACGGCCCAGACUCCUACGGAGGCAGCAUGGGGAAUCUUAGACAAUGGGCGCAAGCCUGAUCUAGCCAUGCCGCGUGUGUGAUGAAGGCCCCUAGGGUCGUAAAAGCAACUUUCGCCAGGGAUGAUAAUGACAGUACCUGGUAAAGAAACCCCGG
RNAcentral lists this ribosomal RNA (418 nucleotides) under uncultured bacterium. Its description in RNAcentral is "bacterial SSU rRNA". It matches the Rfam family "Bacterial small subunit ribosomal RNA", at positions 29 to 496 of the family's 1533-position model. The record is from RNAcentral.